This 446-nucleotide ribosomal RNA is filed under the name uncultured organism. RNAcentral describes it as "partial 16S ribosomal RNA". It matches the Rfam family "Bacterial small subunit ribosomal RNA", at positions 335 to 797 of the family's 1533-position model. The record is from RNAcentral.
CAUCCUACGGGAGGCAGCAGUGGGGAAUAUUGGACAAUGGGCGCAAGCCUGAUCCAGCCAUGCCGCGUGAGUGAUGAAGGCCCUAGGGUUGUAAAGCUCUUUCACCGGUGAAGAUAAUGACGGUAACCGGAGAAGAAGCCCCGGCUAACUUCGUGCCAGCAGCCGCGGUAAUACGAAGGGGGCUAGCGUUGUUCGGAUUUACUGGGCGUAAAGCGCACGUAGGCGGACUAUUAAGUCAGGGGUGAAAUCCCGGGGCUCAACCCCGGAACUGCCUUUGAUACUGGUAGUCUUGAGUUCGAGAGAGGUGAGUGGAAUUCCGAGUGUAGAGGUGAAAUUCGUAGAUAUUCGGAGGAACACCAGUGGCGAAGGCGGCUCACUGGCUCGAUACUGACGCUGAGGUGCGAAAGCGUGGGGAGCAAACAGGAUUAGAUACCCCAGUAGUCCCA